This 899-nucleotide long non-coding RNA is filed under the name Marmota monax (woodchuck). Lineage: Eukaryota; Metazoa; Chordata; Mammalia; Rodentia; Sciuridae. The record is from RNAcentral.
AAUCAACUUUCCCCACAGUGGAGUAGGCAAACUCUUAAUUAUCCAAUGAAACUUUGAUGGAUUCUGUGUAAAUAGUUGUAAUUCUUUCUUUGUGUUUUAUUCACUUAGACACCGUCUUAAAUAAUCAGCUGUGUAAUUUAGAAUUGUGUCCUCAGCCUACUUAGUGUUUACAUGUAGGUCUAAAAGAGUAAAAUAAAAAAAAAAUAGGAUUUCAUUCACUAAAAUGUGCUUCAUUCACAGUGCUGGACUUGGUAACCAAUGGGAAAAUGUCUUCAGAGUUUUAAAUCUUUUGGUGGAAAGCAAGAGUGAUUAUUUUCUAGGUACACAUAAUGACAUUCUUCCCUCCUAUGAAAUUGAUAAUCUCAUCUCUCUCCUCGAAAUUUGAAUAUAGAUCAAAGAUGGGAAAGUUUGGGUGGAUAAGAGUUAAAAUAUAUAUACACACACAAUAAAAACUUAUGUUAGUUAAAAAGAAGGCUAUUGCUAAAAGAUUAUAGACUAUUCUAACAAGGGGAAAAUCUAUCUGCAAAUAAAAAUCAUUUGUAUCCAAUAGCUUGCGAGGCUGAGGCAGAAGGAUCUCGAGUUCAAAGGAAGCCGCAGCAAUGGUGAGGCGCUAAGUCACUCAGUGAGACCUUGUCUCCAAAUAAAAUACAAAAUAAGGCUGAGUAUGUGGCUCAAUGGUUGAGUGCCCCUGAGUUCAAUUCCUGGUACCAAUAAUAAUAAUAAUAAUAAUAAUAAUAAUAAUAAUAAUAAUAAUAAUUUGUAUAUUUAAUAUAUGUAAUAUUUAUGUAUAUUUUAUAACUACAUAUUAUUUCCUUGUGCUUUAUUCAUUUAGUCUCUCUUUUAUAUAAUCAGUUGCAUUAUUUAAAAUUGUGUAGAAUAUAUAAUUACAUAUAGAGCAG